Molecule: long non-coding RNA, 1096 nt
Organism: Passer domesticus (house sparrow)
Lineage: Eukaryota; Metazoa; Chordata; Aves; Passeriformes; Passeridae
Exons: 3
Source: RefSeq, a predicted model, not a curated record
AGAAGGACAGUCCAGGGAUAGCGAUGCUUGCAAGUGAGCGAAAAAGAGCUUGGAUUGCCUUCUGCGAGGUCCCUCUGGAGCCAGGCACAUCCGUCACUGUCCCCGGCAGCAGCAGCUGAGCGGGAGCAGCAAGGAAAGUGCAGGCCUCAGUCUAGAAGAUGUCCUGGCAAGAGGAGAGGGAUGAAGGUCUUUCUGUGCUCCAGAAAAGCCAGCACGAAGAAGAGUACAAACAAGCAGCUGUUCAUGUGGAAGCUGCCAUCUGAUCUAACUUAAAGACACCACUCAGCAGACUUGCUGCUGGAAGACCUCGCUGUUUGGAAAUGAGGACGAAGGCAACACUGUUCUCCCAGAGGUGCAGGAGUUCAGGUCCCCAAGAGACCAUUCUCUCCAAGAGACAGAGGCCUAUUGCACAGUACAGGAAAAACAUAGGUGAAGAGCAGAGAAUGAAACUUGGGAAUCCAGAAAUGUUGUGGGAUCUACCCCUCUCUGGGCUUCUGGGUCUUAUCCUCCUAAAUACUGGCCAAGCCUUCUCAUCAAAGCAGCCUGUUUCAGCUCUCACCACUCACACAUAUAUCAGUCCAACAUCUCCAAACACAGACAAUGGAGAGAAGGGAGCUAGCCCAUGAGAUUGGCCAUAACUAUAGUUAUUAUCAAAGGGGGCACCAAGGAUCCAACGCCCUCAAGGAGGAAGAGCACCUAGAGCUGACACAAAGCUGGCAAUUGUUGUUUUACUCAAAGAAGGUGGCAAGAGGCAGAGGAAAGCAGCAGAAGGAAGAGUAAAGCAAACAAAAAUAAUAACAAGGGUUUGUACCUGUUUAUACCCAUAAUGGAAAUUAUGGGACCAGCAAGAAGCUGUCACCACUUCCCAGGAAGACUACUGGGGCUCUUGGGUUGACUGUUCUCUCCUGAAGUCAAGAGGUACUGUUAAUUUUAGACUUCUAAUUUGUAUAAGACAGCUGUGCAUGCAACCACAUGGUAAGAAGAAAGAGUAUCCUCUUGUCAAGAUCCAACUGUGAUGGACACAGUGAGGAGCAACCCAGUUUAUUUUGGCUAGAUGCCAUCAAAACCACUACUAAUUAGCUUAGAUUGAGUCUGU